This 386-nucleotide ribosomal RNA is filed under the name uncultured prokaryote. RNAcentral's name for it is "bacterial SSU rRNA". It matches the Rfam family "Archaeal small subunit ribosomal RNA", at positions 339 to 725 of the family's 1478-position model. The record is from RNAcentral.
ACGCGAAAACUUUACAAUGCUGGCAACAGCGAUAAGGGAACCUCGAGUGCCAGGUUACAAAUCUGGCUGUCGAGAUGCCUAAAAAGCAUUUCAUAGCAAGGGCCGGGCAAGACCGGUGCCAGCCGCCGCGGUAACACCGGCGGCUCGAGUGGUAACCGUUAUUAUUGGGUCUAAAGGGUCUGUAGCCGGCCGGAUAAGUCUCUUGAGAAAUCUGGCAGCUUAACUGUCAGGCUUUCAGGAGAUACUGUCUGGCUCGAGGCCGGGAGAGGUGAGAGGUACUUCAGGGGUAGGGGUGAAAUCCUGUAAUCCUUGGGGGACCACCUGUGGCGAAGGCGCCUCACCAGAACGGCUCCGACAGUGAGGGACGAAAGCUGGGGGAGCAAACC